GGAUGUAGCUCAGUGUUAGAGCGUGUGCUUAGCAUGCACGAGGUCCUGGGUUCAAUCCCCAGCACCUCCA
This 70-nucleotide transfer RNA is filed under the name Camelus bactrianus (Bactrian camel). It matches the Rfam family "tRNA". Rfam says of the family: Transfer RNA (tRNA) molecules are approximately 80 nucleotides in length. Their secondary structure includes four short double-helical elements and three loops (D, anti-codon, and T loops). Lineage: Eukaryota; Metazoa; Chordata; Mammalia; Artiodactyla; Camelidae. The record is from Rfam by way of RNAcentral. RNAcentral also lists the same sequence under 2 other names.